Molecule: ribosomal RNA, 465 nt
Filed under: uncultured bacterium
Lineage: Bacteria
Description: partial 16S ribosomal RNA
Rfam family: Bacterial small subunit ribosomal RNA
Source: RNAcentral
CUACGGUGGCAGCAGUGGGGAAUAUUGGACAAUGGGGGAAACACUGAUCCAGCAAUGCCGCGUGUGUGAAGAAGGCCUGCGGGUUGUAAAGCACUUUCGGUUGGGAGGACUGCUUCUAGCACUAAUAUUGUUGGAAGUUGACGUUACCUUCAGAAGAAGCACCGGCUAACUCCGUGCCAGCAGCCGCGGUAAUACGGGAGGGUGCAAGCGUUAAUCGGAAUUACUGGGCGUAAAGCGCGCGUAGGCGGCUAGAUCAGUCGGGUGUGAAAGCCCCGGGCUUAACCUGGGAACUGCAUCCGAUACUGUCUAGCUUGAGUACAGGAGAGGAGAGUGGAAUUCCACAUGUAGCGGUGAAAUGCGUAGAUAUGUGGAGGAACACCAAUGGCGAAGGCAGCUCUCUGGCCUGAUACUGACGCUGAGGUGCGAAAGCGUGGGGAGCAAACAGGAUUAGAUACCCCCGUAGUC